RNAcentral lists this ribosomal RNA (460 nucleotides) under Hanseniaspora uvarum. Its description in RNAcentral is "partial large subunit ribosomal RNA". It matches the Rfam family "Eukaryotic large subunit ribosomal RNA", at positions 85 to 544 of the family's 3401-position model. The record is from RNAcentral. Lineage: Eukaryota; Fungi; Ascomycota; Saccharomycetes; Saccharomycodales; Saccharomycodaceae.
AACGGCGAGUGAAGCGGUAAAAGCUCAAAUUUGAAAUCUGGUACUUUCAGUGCCCGAGUUGUAAUUUGUAGAAUUUGUCUUUGAUUAGGUCCUUGUCUAUGUUCCUUGGAACAGGACGUCAUAGAGGGUGAGAAUCCCGUUUGGCGAGGAUACCUUUUCUCUGUAAGACUUUUUCGAAGAGUCGAGUUGUUUGGGAAUGCAGCUCAAAGUGGGUGGUAAAUUCCAUCUAAAGCUAAAUAUUGGCGAGAGACCGAUAGCGAACAAGUACAGUGAUGGAAAGAUGAAAAGAACUUUGAAAAGAGAGUGAAAAAGUACGUGAAAUUGUUGAAAGGGAAGGGCAUUUGAUCAGACAUGGUGUUUUUUGCAUGCACUCGCCUCUCGUGGGCUUGGGCCUCUCAAAAAUUUCACUGGGCCAACAUCAAUUCUGGCAGCAGGAUAAAUCAUUAAGAAUGUAGCUACU